AGUGAACGCUGGCGGUAGGCCUAACACAUGCAAGUCGAGCGGCAGCACAGUAAGAGCUUGCUCUUACGGGUGGCGAGUGGCGGACGGGUGAGGAAUACAUCGGAAUCUACUUUUUCGUGGGGGAUAACGUAGGGAAACUUACGCUAAUACCGCAUACGACCUACGGGUGAAAGCAGGGGAUCUUCUGACCUUGCGCGAUUGAAUGAGCCGAUGUCGGAUUAGCUAGUUGGCGGGGUAAAGGCCCACCAAGGCGACGAUCCGUAGCUGGUCUGAGAGGAUGAUCAGCCACACUGGGACUGAGACACGGUCCAGACUCCUACGGGAGGCAGCAGUGGGGAAUAUUGGACAAUGGGCGCAAGCCUGAUCCAGCCAUACCGCGUGGGUGAAGAAGGCCUUCGGGUUGUAAAGCCCUUUUGUUGGGAAAGAAAAGCAGCAGGUUAAUACCCCGCUGUUCUGACGGUACCCAAAGAAUAAGCACCGGCUAACUUCGUG
This 492-nucleotide ribosomal RNA is filed under the name uncultured bacterium. RNAcentral describes it as "partial 16S ribosomal RNA". It matches the Rfam family "Bacterial small subunit ribosomal RNA", at positions 29 to 507 of the family's 1533-position model. The record is from RNAcentral.